RNAcentral lists this small nucleolar RNA (121 nucleotides) under Echinops telfairi (small Madagascar hedgehog). Its description in RNAcentral is "Small nucleolar RNA SNORA61 (ENSETEG00000024780.1)". The record is from RNAcentral. Lineage: Eukaryota; Metazoa; Chordata; Mammalia; Afrosoricida; Tenrecidae.
ACCCUCCAGGUUUUUCACCCAUGAGAUCUAGACACUAAUCUGAGUGGUUAUAUAAGGAGGAAAAGUGAAAUUGGAACUGGCUUAAACGUUUUUUGUUCAAACGAACUAAGAAAUAAAAUUC